GGCCAGACUCCUACGGGAGGCAGCAGUGGGGAAUAUUGCACAAUGGGGGAAACCCUGAUGCAGCAACGCCGCGUGAGUGAGGAAGUAUUUCGGUAUGUAAAGCUCUAUCAGCAGGGAAGAAAAUGACGGUACCUGACUAAGAAGCCCCGGCUAACUACGUGCCAGCAGCCGCGGUAAUACGUAGGGGGCAAGCGUUAUCCGGAUUUACUGGGUGUAAAGGGAGCGUAGACGGCAUGGCAAGUCAGAUGUGAAAGCCCGGGGCUCAACCCCGGGACUGCAUUUGAAACUGUCAGGCUGGAGUGCAGGAGAGGUAAGUGGAAUUCCUAGUGUAGCGGUGAAAUGCGUAGAUAUUAGGAGGAACACCAGUGGCGAAGGCGGCUUGCUGGACUGUAACUGACGUUGAGGCUCGAAAGCGUGGGGAGCAAACAGGAUUAGAUACCCCUGUAAA
RNAcentral lists this ribosomal RNA (448 nucleotides) under uncultured bacterium. RNAcentral's name for it is "bacterial SSU rRNA". It matches the Rfam family "Bacterial small subunit ribosomal RNA", at positions 329 to 793 of the family's 1533-position model. The record is from RNAcentral.